AUUGAACGCUGGCGGCAUGCCUUACACAUGCAAGUCGAACGGCAGCACGGGAGCAAUCCUGGUGGCGAGUGGCGAACGGGUGAGUAAAGUAUCGGAACGUGCCCAGUCGUGGGGGAUAACGUAGCGAAAGUUACGCUAAUACCGCAUACGAUCUAUGGAUGAAAGCGGGGGAUCGCAAGACCUCGCGCGAUUGGAGCGGCCGAUAUCAGGUUAGGUAGUUGGUGGGGUAAAGGCUCACCAAGCCGACGAUCUGUAGCUGGUCUGAGAGGACGAACAGCCACACUGGGACUGAGACACGGCCCAGACUCCUACGGGAGUCAGCAGUGGGGAAUUUUGGACAAUGGGCGAAAGCCUGAUCCAGCCAUGCCGCGUGCAGGAUGAAGGCCUUCGGGUUGUAAACUGCUUUUGUACGGAACGAAAAGGUUUGGCCUAAUAAGCUGAGCUCAUGACGGUGCCGUAAGAAUAAGCACCGGCUAACUACGUGCCAGCAGCCGCGGUAA
This 500-nucleotide ribosomal RNA is filed under the name uncultured bacterium. RNAcentral describes it as "partial 16S ribosomal RNA". It matches the Rfam family "Bacterial small subunit ribosomal RNA", at positions 30 to 523 of the family's 1533-position model. The record is from RNAcentral.